GAAAUGCGAUAAGUAGUGUGAAUUGCAGAAUUCAGUGAAUCAUCGAAUCUUUGAACGCACAUUGCGCCUCCUGGUAUUCCGGGAGGCAUGCCUGUUCGAGCGUCAUUAAAAACCACUCAAGCUCUCUUUAUUGGUGUGCUUGGUAUUGGAGGAAGAGUUCACCACCCCCCCAGGGUCCGUGUCCUCCCCUCCGAAAUCCAAUGGCGGAUCGGCCCCGGUGGCCCCGGCGUAGUAAGUCUUCUUUCGCCUCGGUGACCGAGUCCAUCCUGCCGCAAACCCCCCCAAUUUCUUUACAAGGUUGACCUCGGAUCAGGUAGGGAUACCCGCUGAACUUAA
Molecule: unclassified non-coding RNA, 336 nt
Filed under: uncultured Pyronemataceae
Lineage: Eukaryota; Fungi; Ascomycota; Pezizomycetes; Pezizales; Pyronemataceae
Description: sequence contains ITS1
Rfam family: 5.8S ribosomal RNA (bases 1-105)
Source: RNAcentral